AGCGAACGCUGGCGGCAGGCCUAACACAUGCAAGUCGAACGAACUCUUCGGAGUUAGUGGCGGACGGGUGAGUAACACGUGGGAACGUGCCUUUUGGUUCGGAAUAACUCAGGGAAACUUGUGCUAAUACCGAGUGUGCCAUUCUGGGGAAAGAUGUAUCGCCAUUAGAGCGGCCCGCGUCUGAUUAGCUAGUUGGUGAGGUAACGGCUCACCAAGGCGACGAUCAGUAGCUGGUCUGAGAGGAUGACCAGCCACACUGGGACUGAGACACGGCCCAGACUCCUACGGGAGGCAGCAGUGGGGAAUCUUGCGCAAUGGGCGAAAGCCUGACGCAGCCAGGCCGCGUGAAUGAUGAAGGUCGUAGGAUUGUAAAAUUCUUUCACCGGGGACGAUAAUGACGGUACCCGGAGAAGAAGCCCCGGCUAACUUCGUG
RNAcentral lists this ribosomal RNA (433 nucleotides) under uncultured bacterium. Its description in RNAcentral is "partial 16S ribosomal RNA". It matches the Rfam family "Bacterial small subunit ribosomal RNA", at positions 29 to 507 of the family's 1533-position model. The record is from RNAcentral.